RNAcentral lists this ribosomal RNA (492 nucleotides) under uncultured bacterium. RNAcentral describes it as "partial 16S ribosomal RNA". It matches the Rfam family "Bacterial small subunit ribosomal RNA", at positions 29 to 507 of the family's 1533-position model. The record is from RNAcentral.
AGUGAACGCUGGCGGUAGGCCUAACACAUGCAAGUCGAACGGCAGCACAGUAAGAGCUUGCUCUUACGGGUUGCGAGUGGCGGACGGGUGAGGAAUACAUCGGAAUCUACUUUUUCGUGGGGGAUAACGUAGGGAAACUUACUCUAAUACCGCAUACGACCUACGGGUGAAAGCAGGGAAUCUUCGGACCUUGCGCGAUUGAAUGAGCCGAUGUCGGAUUAGCUAGUGGGCGGGGUAAAGGCCCACCAAGGCGACGAUCCGUAGCUAGGCUGAGAGGAUGAUCAGCCACACUGGAACUGGGACACGGUCCAGACUCCAACGGGAGGCAGCAGUGGGGAAUAUUGGACAAUGGGCGCAAGCCUGAUCCAGCCAUACCGCGUGGGUGAAGAAGGCCUUCGGGUUGUAAAGCCCUUUUGUUGGGAAAGAAAAGCAGCAGGUUAAUACCCCGCUGUUCUGACGGUACCCAAAGAAUAAGCACCGGCUAACUUCGUG